CUACAAAGGAAUUGACGGGGCCCGCACAAGCGGUGGAGCAUGUGGUUUAAUUCGACGCAACGCGAAGAACCUUACCAGGGCUUGACAUCCCCUGACCGCGUAUGAAAGUACGUUUUCACCCUCGGGUGACAGGGAGACAGGUGGUGCAUGGUUGUCGUCAGCUCGUGUCGUGAGAUGUUGGGUUAAGUCCCGCAACGAGCGCAACCCCUACGUUUAGUUGCUAACGCGUGAAGGCGAGCACUCUAGACGAACUGCCGUUGACAAAACGGAGGAAGGUGGGAUGACGUCAAAUCAUCAUGCCCCUUAUGUUCUGGGCUACACACGUGCUACAAUGGCCGGUACAGACGGACGCAAAGCCGCGAGGUGGAGCAAAUCCUAAAAAGCCGCUCUCAGUUCGGAUUGCAGGCUGCAACUCGCCUGCAUGAAGCCGGAAUCGCUAGUAAUCGCGGAUCAGCAUGCCGCGGUCGAAUACGUUCCCGGGCCUU
Molecule: ribosomal RNA, 485 nt
Filed under: uncultured Bacillus sp.
Lineage: Bacteria; Bacillati; Bacillota; Bacilli; Caryophanales; Bacillaceae
Description: bacterial SSU rRNA
Rfam family: Bacterial small subunit ribosomal RNA
Source: RNAcentral